Molecule: long non-coding RNA, 73 nt
Organism: Sander lucioperca (pikeperch)
Lineage: Eukaryota; Metazoa; Chordata; Actinopteri; Perciformes; Percidae
Exons: 3
Source: RefSeq, a predicted model, not a curated record
UUAGUGCACGAUACAAAGGGAAUUGAAAGUUCAGCCAAAUGCAGCAUAAACAAAAGGGUUUACAUUCUCAGUC